CAGAAACAAGAUGCAAUAAUUCCUACCACAUAAGAGAUGAACCAAAAUUCAUAAUCAGUCUACCGGUUGAUCAACCUCUGCAUAAGCAGUUUCAAGGUGUGCUUGCUCAGCUUCUUGCACCUCCUUCUCAGUUUUCCUACCCUUCUUUGAUUUGUAGUACACACUCAUAAAUGUUCCAACAGCUCCAUACUUCUUCCUGCUCUGUUCAUACAGACCUGCAUCAAACAUCCUCCAGAAAUUCUUCUCAGACAGCUCAGAAACAGCAUACUGUGGCUGAAAACCAUGAUUCUCGAUCAUCCAGCUCUCCAAUUUGCGCACUGCUUCUGCACCAUCAAAUACCUCACCCCUCAAAACAGGACCUGGUGCAUAGUAAACUCCAAUGUCUGUGUACAUUUGAGCAGUUUGUGUGUCUCCCUGCCUGCGCUGCAGUUCGAAGCCUGGCUCUGGGUAAAUCAUAGUUUUGACAGGCAGCUUGAACAGUUUGUGAGGGCAAAGCCAAAUGGGAUAUACCUAAAAAGAUGACAAUCAACAACAUAAGAAACAAAAUUGAUGAAUGCAUGACUCAAAUAAUAUAAGCAAACCAAACCCCAUAGUUAAUUAAAUGAUAGGACAUCUUGAAUUGAAAUAAAAUAGAACAACAUUUUGGAUUUGGAAUAAGCAAGACAAAUUAUAACACCGCUAUGUUGGCAAACUCACAACUCGAAAUUUUCUUGAGGGCAAAACCCCUUUAUGUGUUACAAAUAAAUAAAACUGUUGGGAUCAUUUAAUUUAGAACACAAUAGACAGUGUAAAUGGGCUUUUCUUGCAAAACAAUGACCCAGGAGAUCAGCCCCAAAGUUAAGCUUCUUAUGAGUGAAACUAUAAUUUUAAAUGACUUCAUCUUGAAAGAAACAGUCUGAAAAGUAAAAUUCAUGUAAAACAUUAUUAAGGUGGGGUAAGAAGGAAAAUGUACCUCCAUCUCACGGUGAACCCAUUCUAAUGCAUCACCGACCUUGUACAGAGGAACAAGCAUGUCUUGGAUGACAUGCAUUUCAUGGUAAUAGUUUCUUAUAGCUUCACCUUGAGUUGCCUUGAGGAGAGAAACCUUGGGUGGCAUCAACCAGCCAAAGAGAAACCUAAACCAACAUUGAUCAGCAAAUGGGAGGAUAAGUUUUCCCUCCCAGUACAGACACCUUGUGUGCCUGUGAUAAUAUUCUCUGGUCGGGAUGUACUCAAUAAACUUCCCUUUCUUCAGUGCUGUCUGGGCAUGUUGAUAGAACCAGGGUUUAAACCACCAUCCUACACUGUUGAUCUUAUUCCCUUUCAGCUUAGCCUCUUCUUUUGAAGCAUAUCUCCCAGUCAUGCACACAGCUUCUGUUGGAUUAUAAAUCAUUGUUUCUACAAAGUCUGGAACCUUGUCAUCAUUAUCCUGGUCUCCAUCUCUUGGAGCAAAAGAAUCAAUAUAUCCCUGUGCAAGUUCUUUCAGGUUACCAACAACAGGUUCAUAAGUUAGCUUCAUAUACUCCUUAAUGGGAAUAAGCUUAAUCUCAGCAGCAACAAGAAGCCCAAGUGUUCCCUGAGACCAUGGAAUUGCAUGAAAUAAAUCAGAGUAGUCAUUGUCCCUGGUAGCUCUAACAAGAGUACCAUCUGCCAAAACAAUUUCAUAAGCCACAACAGUAUCAGAGAACAAGCCAUAUUUGUGAGAACUUCCUUCUAUCCCAUAACCGUUAAUAAGGCCACCAAGUAGGACAUAUUGGGAUUUAUACAAAAUACUUGGGAUCCAUAUUUUAAGUUAUAGGGUCAAAAAUAUAUGUCUUCACGUUUAUACAUGAAAGUUUUUUGUAUAACUCAAACCCAGCUUAGGGUAUGCAAAUUGAGUUUCAUCCACAUGAUCCACAAAAUUAUCACUGAGAUACAUUUGAACAAAAUUGUAAGUCUAAUAUUGGAAUUUAGAAUAGGUUUUUUUGCAUUAAAAAAUUAAAGAGUUUUAUUGUUUCUACACAAACAUUGGCUUGAAAACUAUAAUCUUGGGCAAGGACCAUUUAACCAAACAUUAUAAAAAUAGAAAGAAGGUUUACAUACAAUUUUAAUUUUUAUAGUUUCUAACUAUUUUGAUAUUGGCCCUUUUAAUUUAAAGUGUAGUUUCAAGUCCUUAUAUUUUUAAAAUCAUAUAAACUCUGGAAAAAUAGGGACUGUGAUCAAACUUUUAAAUUAUAAGAAUCAAAACAUAAUGUUUUUGGAAAACUAUAGACUAAAUAUAUAUAUUUAAACUUAAAAACCCAAAUAGUAAAACAUUGUGAAACCACUAUGCACAGUGAAUGUAUCUCCACCAUUAAAAUGAGUAAAACUGAAAAAUAAUUUUUGGACCAUGGCUUGGUUUGACUUAAGAGAGUUUCAAGCAGGGCAGAUAUUGAAGGGCCAUACAAAAACACAUUGGGUACAACGCAUGCAUAUGCACACAUGCAAAGACCCUCAAAUGUAAGAUGCAUUAGACUUGCAAACAAGAACUUCUAGAAUUAAGCAUUUCAGUCUCAAAUCAUCACAUAAGAGAUGAACCAUAUGGCAUAAAGACAACUAAGUCAAGUCCACAUAAUCCAUAAAGGACAACUAAAUCAAUCACAAAAGCCAGAUCAAUCCAAAAACACAAAAGCAUAAUGAUAAGUUCAGAAACAAGAUGCAAUAAUUCCUACCACAUAAGAGAUGAACCAAAAUUCAUAAUCAGUCUACCGGUUGAUCAACCUCUGCAUAAGCAGUUUCAAGGUGUGCUUGCUCAGCUUCUUGCACCUCCUUCUCAGUUUUCCUACCCUUCUUUGAUUUGUAGUACACACUCAUAAAUGUUCCAACAGCUCCAUACUUCUUCCUGCUCUGUUCAUAC
This 2854-nucleotide long non-coding RNA is filed under the name Lupinus angustifolius (narrow-leaved blue lupine). RNAcentral's name for it is "long non-coding RNA (LANG_LNC001167)". Lineage: Eukaryota; Viridiplantae; Streptophyta; Magnoliopsida; Fabales; Fabaceae. The record is from RNAcentral.